Molecule: long non-coding RNA, 258 nt
Filed under: Pan troglodytes (chimpanzee)
Lineage: Eukaryota; Metazoa; Chordata; Mammalia; Primates; Hominidae
Description: long non-coding RNA NONPTRT017580
Source: RNAcentral
GGGGGAACCAGGGGAUCCUGGUCGGCCGGGGCCUGUGGGAGAGCAGGGAUUUAUGGGAUUCAUUGGUCUGGUCGGGGAGCCAGGAAUCGUGGGAGAAAAGGGUGAUCGUGGCAUGAUGGGACCCCCAGGCGUGCCUGGACCCAAGGGGUCGAUGGGUCAUCCUGGAAUGCCAGGUGGUAUGGGGACCCCUGGAGAGCCUGGACCCCAGGGUCCUCCAGGAUCUCGAGGCCCACCAGGCAUGAGGGGAGCAAAGGGACG